Molecule: long non-coding RNA, 668 nt
Filed under: Homo sapiens (human)
Lineage: Eukaryota; Metazoa; Chordata; Mammalia; Primates; Hominidae
Description: MIR4307 host gene
Source: RNAcentral
AGAGUCCACAUAUGUUCGGGGGAGGGACCCCAGAAGGCGGCUGACAGUAUUCCUUUAGCCAGAAAUCCCUUCAGGGAAGAGAAAGGUGCUCCCCUUUGCCUGCUUUUAUACUACAGACUGUUUCCAACUCCAGCUAGAAGUGACUAUUGCCGAUUAUGUAUUUUCCAGAAAAUAUUUCAAGCAGAAUAUACUUAUUUUCCAGUUUUGAAAACAACUAGAUUGCCCAUCUCCAUUUCUCUCUAUCAUCUACUGUAUUAUUCUAUGGACAACUGCCACCCUAAUAAGGUCAAGAAGGGAAGCCAGAAGUCAAGGCCACAGAAGACACAGGAAACAUCAUUUCCAAAGUGGGAGACAAAGCUGUUAACAGGAAAUUAUUUGUAAAGUCAAGAGCCAAGCAAAACAGAAAAAGGACAAGAAAUCUAUCACCUGUGGGUAUGAAUGGUUCUAGGGAAGUCUGUUGACAAUUGGAGGGUCUCAAAGGCGCUUUAUGGUACUUAUUUUAUGACCCUGAGUCUGGAGUCUGAUGAAUUAAAGAGGAAAUUCUGCUCUGGGCAACAUUUAAGAGAUAGUAUCUCCAGGCAGUAACUUUCGUAUUAACUCUCAUAAGAUUGAUGCCAUUCUGUCAUCUAAAGUGUGGACAAAAGUAGCAUUAAAGCAAAAUGAAAGGA